This is a long non-coding RNA of Hyla sarda, 488 nucleotides long. RefSeq lists it as uncharacterized. The transcript has 4 exons. The record is from RefSeq and is a predicted model, not a curated record. Lineage: Eukaryota; Metazoa; Chordata; Amphibia; Anura; Hylidae.
GAUAGGUUUUGAUAAAUCUCCCCCUGGGUUAUUUGUAAAACAGUCCCUAAAGCUGGCCAGAGAUAUUAGACAUGGGUCAGCCAAACCCGCCGAUUUCAGUAGGACCAGAAAAUUCGUCCAGCACUUGACUCAGGGAACGGUAUCUUUAUUAAGGUGCCAUGGAGAACAGCACCGACAGCACCGACAAGGAGUACAGUAAAAGAGCUAGUCACAUGAUACGGAUCACCACAGGCGAGACAGAUAAGGUGAAGAUCAUCAGCUAAGAAUUUUACAGAAUUAAAUUAUCUAAAACUGUAUACAUAUGGAGGUACACAGACGACUCCUGACGUAUCUGCCCUGGUCUUAUGGAGGUACACAGACGACUCCUGACGUAUCUGCCCUGGUCUUAUGGUCCAUUUACAGUUCUUAUUUUUCUCUCUAUCUCUCUUACAUUAGUCAUUUUGUCACCAAGUGGUUUUCACACCUUUGAAAGUAAAUAAAUGUUUCCU